CUUAGGUGGACAAAGCAAAUGGAAAACGUUUUGUUGAACACUGCGUUUAAUCAAUUGCUAGAUUUAUUUUCUUCUUCGUCGUGAUAUCAAGCUUGAAUGCUCGCUGUGAUACCAAUCUUCUUCUUCGGCGUGAUUUCAGCUUCUUCACCAAAUCAAAAUCUUCUGUUUUUUUCUCCUUGUUUCUCUUCAAUUUUGAUUUCAUGGGUUUGUUUUUUUUCCGCGAAUGGGUUUGAACAAGCUGUAUAAUUGUAGGGUUUGAUUUGUUUCCGUGAUUAUGAAUCGAAUUAUGAAAAAAGUUUGGAUCUUUUUGGGAUUUUUCUUUUCUUACAAUUGUUGAAAUUUUAAUGUGGGACAAAGAUUGAUACUUUAUGUUGUGUAAAUUGAAAUUUUUUGUUUUGUUUUUCGUAGAGAGAAAAUUCUCUGGUGAACGUGUGCAGUUUAGCCGAGACCCGUUGCUUCAUGUCAAACAGUCGGUUCAAGUCUCUGAGGAUAUCCUAAGGCGCUGUAAGGAAAUCACAGUUGAGCUUUUUGUCCAAGAUCAGAGUUGAGGGAAUCGUGCAGCCGAGAGUAAACCAACAAACCAGCCUCAGAAUCGUUAUUCCCAGCCUAAUACCCGUGACUGGCAUAGUCGUCCGCAGGUUCCAACCUCUGGUAAAAAAUGGUUAAGAGACGACUCUCGUGAACCUAAAAAUACAUCUCAAUGGCGUGAUGAUGAUCUUGUGAAACAGUCUGGUCCUGCUCCUGUGCUGGUGAAAGCAGAAGUCCCAUGGUCAGCUAAAAGUGGAGCUCUUUCAGAUCAAGACCGAGUCCUCAAAACUGUGAAAGGUAUUCUGAACAAGCUUAUCCCGGAGAAGUACGAGCUUCUUAAACGGAGAAGUACGAGCUUCUUAAAGGUCUAUUGAUUGAUUCUGGCAUCACUUCUGCUGAUAUCCUAAAGGGAGUGAUACAGCUGAUUUUUGAGAAUGCUAUACUGCACUCGACGUCCUGCGAGUUGUACGCUUGUUUGUAUUUUGAUAUUAACGGAAAGCUUCCUUCGUUUCCACCUGAGGAACCUGGUGGCAAAGAAGUAACUUUCAACAACAGGGGAUACACAUUUAUGAAAUUGCUCAGCAAUUGAAGAUCCCAAAGAACAAGCUAAAGGGAGUUAUCCAAUCACUAGAAGGAGAUGGUCUAAUAUAGUACUCGACAAUCGAUGAGUAUCACUUCAAUUAGAGUUUGGUUAAUCCGUAGAUAAAAGAGUCAUUAGUAUUGUCUGGUGGUUUGAGAGAUAUUUUCAAUUUCUAGAACCUAGGAUCACGUUUAUAUAGCUCACUUUUGUUGUUUCAUAGGACAGGUGACCAAUUCUCGCUUAGGGGUAUACCAUUUUUUUUUAACAGUAAAUAUGUAUUUCAAUUUAAUAGCAAA
Long non-coding RNA from Camelina sativa (false flax), 1404 nucleotides. RefSeq lists it as uncharacterized. The record is from RefSeq and is a predicted model, not a curated record. Lineage: Eukaryota; Viridiplantae; Streptophyta; Magnoliopsida; Brassicales; Brassicaceae.